CCCUUAGAUGUUCUGGGCCGCACGCGCGCUACACUGAUGCAUUCAACGAGUUUCUUCCUGGUCCGAGAGGAAUGGGUAACCUUUUGAAAGUGCAUCGUGAUAGGGAUAGACUAUUGCAAUUAUUGGUCUUCAACGAGGAAUUCCUAGUAGACGUAGUUCAUCAGACUGCAUCGAUUACGUCCCUGCCCUGUGUACACACCGCCCGUCGCUCCUACCGAUUGAAUGCUCAGGUGAGCCAUUCGGACUUUCAUCAUGCUGGUUUCCAGUUUUGAUGAAGGAAAGUCUUGCGAACCUUAUCAUUUAGAGGAAGGAGAAGUCGUAACA
Molecule: ribosomal RNA, 324 nt
Filed under: uncultured eukaryote
Lineage: Eukaryota
Description: partial 18S ribosomal RNA
Rfam family: Eukaryotic small subunit ribosomal RNA
Source: RNAcentral